AUCAUUACCGAGUGAGGGCGUGAGCCCGACCUCCACCCCAUGUUUUCCGACCCCCGUUGCCUCGGGGGCGACCCGGCCGCCGCGCCGGGGCCCCCGGCGGACCCGUCAACUCUGCAUCGUUGCGUCUGAGCGGAUGAAUCAGUCAAUCAAAACUUUCAACAACGGAUCUCUUGGUUCUGGCAUCGAUGAAGAACGCAGCGAAAUGCGAUAAGUAAUGUGAAUUGCAGAAUUCAGUGAAUCAUCGAAUCUUUGAACGCACAUUGCGCCCUCUGGUAUUCCGGAGGGCAUGCCUGUUCGAGCGUCAUUACACCACUCCAGCCUCGCUGGGUAUUGGGUGCCGCGGCCUCCGCGCGCCUCAAAGUCGCCGGCUGAGUCGACUCUCUCUAAGCGUUGUGGCAUCACGUUCUCGCUUCCGGGAUGGGUCGGGUCUUACGCCGUUAAAGCCUUCCACCAAAGGUUGACCUCGGAUCAGG
RNAcentral lists this ribosomal RNA (473 nucleotides) under Teratosphaeria multiseptata. Its description in RNAcentral is "eukaryotic LSU rRNA". The stretch from base 151 to 304 matches the Rfam family "5.8S ribosomal RNA". The record is from RNAcentral. Lineage: Eukaryota; Fungi; Ascomycota; Dothideomycetes; Mycosphaerellales; Teratosphaeriaceae.